RNAcentral lists this ribosomal RNA (271 nucleotides) under uncultured bacterium. Its description in RNAcentral is "partial 16S ribosomal RNA". It matches the Rfam family "Bacterial small subunit ribosomal RNA", at positions 524 to 794 of the family's 1533-position model. The record is from RNAcentral.
UACGUAGGGGGCAAGCGUUGUCCGGAUUUACUGGGUGUAAAGGGCGCGUAGGCGGGUUUGUUAGUCAGAGGUGAAAUCCUGCAGCUUAACUGUAGAACUGCCUCUGAUACUGCAAAUCUUGAGUUCAGAAGAGAGAAGCGGAAUUCCAGGUGUAGUGGUGAAAUACGUAGAUAUCUGGAAGAACACCAGUGGCGAAGGCGGCUUCUUGGUCUGUAACUGACGCUGAGGCGCGAAAGCGUGGGGAGCAAACAGGAUUAGAAACCCUGGUAGU